CAGAGGGUAGUUAAAACAGAACACCGGCUUUGGGAGUCGGCGGCGGGAGUUCAAGCCUCUCCCCUCUGA
Molecule: transfer RNA, 69 nt
Filed under: Trachinocephalus myops (snakefish)
Lineage: Eukaryota; Metazoa; Chordata; Actinopteri; Aulopiformes; Synodontidae
Description: tRNA-Pro
Rfam family: tRNA
About the family: Transfer RNA (tRNA) molecules are approximately 80 nucleotides in length.
Source: RNAcentral